CCCCGCGCCCCCGCUCUCCUCCAGCUGGCCCCUGCUGGGACCCCCCCGCCGCAGCGUCUGGUACAUCUACAGCGAUUACAUCAUCAAGGAGAAGACGGUGCUGCUGCAGAAGAAGGACAGCGAGGGCUUCGGCUUCGUCCUGCGCGGGGCCAAGGCGCAGACCCCCAUCGAGGAGUUCACCCCCACCCCGGCCUUCCCGGCCCUGCAGUACCUGGAGUCGGUGGAUGAAGGGGGCGUGGCCUGGAGGGCGGGGCUGCGCAUGGGCGACUUCCUGAUCG
Long non-coding RNA from Vidua chalybeata, 278 nucleotides. RefSeq lists it as uncharacterized. NCBI's taxonomy places the organism in Eukaryota, Metazoa, Chordata, Aves, Passeriformes, Viduidae. The record is from RefSeq and is a predicted model, not a curated record. The transcript is spliced from 3 exons.